UAAAACUCAUUAACGAAAUCAAUUAAUAACUUCUAAAAUUUAUCAAUUACUAUCCCCAAAAUCUGGAAGUCAUCACCACAAGAACAUUCUAUCCUCAAAUUACUAAAUCUAAGAGUGUCUAGGAAGCUAGAAUAAGAAAACAGAUGGUCCAUGUCCGAACUUCAAGGACAUCAAGACAUGAAUGAGAGAGAAUCCAGUCCGAGCUAGGAAUAAUAGCUCACCCUGAAAUCUGAUUAUGCUGAGGUCUGGCUAGAGUUGCGGUUGAGUUGAAGUCGAAGGUACGUUUGCUGCACUCCACAAAUAACAAAGAAGAAAAUUACAAGUAGGGGUCAGUACACAAGUACUGAGUAGGUAUCAUCAGCCAACUCAAAAUAGAAAUAAAUAUAUAUCAGAUAAUAACAUAAAAUCAACCAUAACACUUAACAGGUGAAAACAACAAGUACCAUAACCAUUGGCCACAACCAAAGCACAUAUAUGAGGACUCAAGCCUCCACACCAUACUCACUUACGAAUAAGGUUCUUCAAACCUGAGUAUAUUAGCAUAAUUUAAGAUUCAUUCUCUUUACUAACCUGGUGUCGGAAUGUGACACUCUGAUCCCCUACUAUCCUGGUGUCGGAACGUGACACUCCGAUCCCCUACUAUCCUGGUGUAGGAACUUGACACUCCGAUCCCCUAAUACUACGUGUCAGUUCGUGACACCCGAUCCCUUAAUCUCAUUAAUUUCCAGUUCAUCAACCUACCUUUAUGCCAAGACAUCAUCAUUAAUAGAGAGGUUUUAAGGUUGAGAUUCACAGCCUCAUCUUUCCAAUCCAUUAUAAUUACAUAAUCACAUCAUGCAAGCACACAAUUAAGCAUAUAGAAGACUUUACAAUACUACUCAAUGCAUAUCAUUCGCUAUUAAGAGUUUACUAUGAAAUAGCAUAAACCACAACCUACCUCCACCGAAGAAUCGUGAUCAAGCAAGCUAUCCCCCAAAACCUUUGCUUUCCUCCGUGUUCUUCUCUUUCUCUCGCUCGUUUCUCUCUUCUUUUCUUUGCUCUUUCUAUUUUUCCUUAUUCAAACUCCUUUCUUUUACCCUAAUUAUCAUCUAAUUAGGUAUAAAAGAUGGUAAAAGUAACCCACUAUUUAUUUCAAGGUUAUCUCCUUUAACCCCUAAGUAAUUGAAUUAUUAACAUUAAACCACUAACUUUAUAAUCAUAAGCAGUUUUAGUCCAAAACACCCCUUAAAAACUUUUAACACAAAUCCGACCCAGUCAAAUUUACGCAGCCUGUGACGGCCCGUCGUGCCUGCGAUGGUCCGUCCUGCUGUUUUUGUCACAAAGUUCAGAGAGUCGAAUUCAUUAAAGACUCUGUGACGGUCCAUCGUGCCUACGACGGUCCGUGCUGCUCUUCCGUCGCGAAGUUCAGAGAGUUGUUUCCCCGUACCCAAAUUUCAGAGUCUAAGUGUUUUGGAACGAGACCCCCUCGACGGUCCGUCGUACCCAUGAUGGUCCGUCGUGGGAUCCGUUGACCCAGACAGCUAUUACCAGAAAUAAACUCUACUACUCAAAACGACUAUACAUGUCGUUACAAUAGAUACCAAUUUACUCAUCGUUCAUCCUCGAACGAUCACAAGAAGAAAAACAAUGACGAAAAGGAGUACCUGAAUCUGUAAACAGGUGUGGGUAUCUUUCUUGCAUAUCUGCCUCCUUCUCCCAAGUGGACUCUUCAACUGGUCGAUUCUUCCAUUGAACUUUGAUGGAUGCAAUCUCCCUUGAUCUCAACUUGUGGACUUCUCUAUCUAAAAUAGCAACAGGCUCCUACUCAUAAGACAAAUUCUCAUCAAGAAGAAGUGAAUCCCAAUGAAUGAUGUAGUUUCCAUCCCCAUGGUAUCUUUUCAGCAUAGACACAUGAAAUACCGGGUGCGCUCUUGAGAGUCCUGGGGGAAAGUCUAAUUCAUAAACUACCUCCCCCACGCGCUUCAGAACUUCAAAUGGACCAAUGUACCUCGAACUAAGCUUACCUCGCUUACCGAACCGCAUCACCCCUUUCAUUAAUCCUCACAACUCCUUCCUCAUCAAUUAUUGCCUUUUUAGCCUUUCCUCGCAACACCAUAUCUCGAAUUCGGCUCAACUUCUCAUCAGUAAACUGCUUUCCCUUAAUCUUGUCAAGAAAGGAAGAUCUUUCCUCCACACAGGCCAAAAAUCCUCCCUUCACAUUUACUUCUAGCCUCAUAAAGUCAUUAGCCAGAGUCUGAACCUCUCUAGCCAAUGGGCGUCUGGAAACCUGUAAGUGAGCUAGGCUUCCCAUGCUCCCUGCUUUUCUACUUAACGCAUCUGCCACAACGUUAGCUUUUCCUGGGUGGUACAAAAUAGUGAUAUCGUAGUCCUUCAGUAGUUACAUCCAUCUCCUCUGUCUCAGAUUCAAAUCUUUCUGAGUAAAGACAUACUGUAGGCUACGAUGAUCAGUAUAGACUUCACACUUAACCCUAUAUAGAUAGUGCCUCCAUUGCUUUAAUGCAAACACUACCGCAGCCAACUCCAAAUGGUGGGUCGGAUAAUUACGUUCAUGCACCUUUAAUUGCCUCGAAGAAUAAUCAAUUACAUUCUUCUCUUGCAUUAGCACUGCACCCAAACCAGAAUAGGAUGCAUCACAAUAAACAAUGAAAUUCUUACCUUCCACUAGCAAGGUAAGAAUUGGUGUAGUAGUCAAUAAGGUCUUGAGUUUCUGAAAGCUUUCCUCACACUCGUCCGACCAUACAAAGGGAACACUCUGCUUAGUCAAGUUUUUCAAUUGGGAAGCCACAGAGGAAAAUCCCUUGACAAAUCGACGGUAGUAGCUAGCUAAACCAACAAAGCUCCUCACCUCUGUAACAUUAGUAGGUCUUACCCAACUCUUCACUGCUUCGAUCUUAGAAGGAUCCACCAUCACUCCAUCCUUAGAAACCACAUGCCCCAAGAAGGACGCUGAAUCUAGCCAAAACUCACACUUGGAGAAUUUGGCAUAAAGCUUUUUCUCCCUCAACAUUUCCAAUACAAUUCUCAAGUGCUCCUCAUGUUCUUUCCUUCUCUUUGAGUAUACCAGUAUAUCAUCAAUGAAUACAAUGACAAAGAGAUCCAGAUAUGGCUUAAAAAUCCCGUUCAUCAAGCUCAUGAAAGCAGCAGGGGCAUUCGUAAGCCCAAAAGACAUUACUAAGAACUCAAUUGAUAGUAGUCUUGGGCACAUCCGUUGCCUGUAUUUUCAAUUGAUGAUAACCAGACCUCAAAUCGAUUUUUGAGAAGGUACAAGCACCUUGUAACUGAUCAAACAAAUCAUCAAUGCGAGGAAGAGGAUACUUGUUCUUAAUAGUUACCUUGUUCAGUUGCCUGUAGUCUAUGCACAUUCUAAAACUUCCAUCCUUCUUCUUCACAAUCAAAACAGGAGCACCCCAAGGGGAUGCACUUGGUCUAAUGAAGCCUUUACCUAACAACUCUUGAAGUUGGGCCGUUAACUCUCUUAACUCGGCGGGAGCCAUUCUAUAAGGGGGUAUGGAAAUGGGGCGAGUACCCGGCUCCAUAUCAAUACAGAAAUCAAUAUCUCUAUCCGGUGGCAUACCAGGAAGGUCUGCAGGAAACACAUCCAGGAACUCACAGACUAUCGAAACUGACUCAAUUGUAGGUAUUUGGAUAGUAUCAUCCCUGAGGUGUGCAAAGAAAGCUAAACACCCUUUACUAACCAUUCUCUUAGCACGAAGAAAGGAGAUGAUACGAACUGGAGUGGAAGUGUAGUCACCCUCCCACACUAACGGAUCUAUCCCAGGCUUGGCCAACGUUACAGUUUUAGCAUUACAAUCUAAGAUUGCAAAAUUUGGAGAAAGCCAAGUCAUACCUAAAAUUACAUCGAAAUCAACCAUUUCUAAGAUAACCAAGUCUACAUGAGUAUUGCUCUCCACAAAAGUUACAAGACAAGACCUAUACAACUUUUCAACUAUCACAGACUCACCCACCGGAGUAGAAACACGAAUAGGCAUGUCAAGUAAUUCACAAUGUAAAUUAAGACCAGUAACAAAUGAGGAAGAUACAUAUGAAAAUGUGUAGCCAGGAUCAAAUAAUACAGAAGCCAUGAAAUCACCAACCAAAAGAUUACCUGUGAUAAUAGCAUCAGAUGUCUCCGCUUUAGACCUCCCAGGGAAAGCAUAACAAUGGGCCCUAUCACCUGUCUGCCCGUUUCCCCUGCCAUGUUGCGCUGCAGUAGUUCCAAUUUGCCCGCCACCCCGGUUGAUUUGGUGACCUCCAUUACCUUGGCCACCCCGUCCUCCAGAAUAGCGGCCUCUUCCAUGACCACCUCUACCUCUGACUAUUGGGGGUCUGUAACUCUAUUUUGGACAAUACCUCCUAAUAUGUCCAGUCUCCCCACAUCCAUAACACUCUCUGGGUUUAAUCAUAGGACUCUGUGAGAACGACGGAGUCUGGGGAUAACCCCCAAACUCAGAGAAGUGUUGACCGGUUUGCGGUGGACCCCCAGCUACAGCCUGCAGUGAAGACUGAAUAGGUCGGGCUGGGUAACCUCCUGAACUCUGCCCCCUAGAGUAAGAACCAUUAAACUCGCCUCCCUUACGAAACUUCUUAGGUGUCGAUGCCAUGGUGAAGUCGUCUGGCUUCACUCCCUCCACUUCUAUCACAAAGUCUACCACCUCCUGAAAGGAUUUUGCUACAGUAGCUACCUGUAAGGCUGGAAUCUGCAAGUCUGACCUCAAUCCCUUCACAAAACGGCGAAUCUGCUCUUGUGGACUGAAGCAAAGCUGGGUGGCAUACCUGGAUAAUGCACGAAACUUAGCCUCAUAAGCAGUAACCGACAUCAUGCCUUGCUCUAGGCUCAGGAACUCAUCUCUCUUCCUAUCCCUGAAAGUCCGGGUAUAUACUUCUCCAUAAAUAAGCUAGAGAAUGAUGCCCAAGUCAUGGCUGGUGCCUGUGCUGGUUGACACUCAACAUACGAUCGCCACCACAUUUUGGCAUUUCCCUGAAACUGAUAGGUUACGAACUCAACACCGAAUCGUUCCACUAUGCCCAUCUUAUGUAGCAGCUCAUGAUAAUCAACCAGAAAAUCAUAGGCAUCCUCAGAUUCAGCACCCUUGAAAACUGGAGGUUUCAAUUUCAAGAACUUAGUGAAAAGUUCGUGCUGAUCACUCGUCAUUAUAGGCCCUGUAGUCAAUCGAGGAAACAUGCCUAUUUCCAAUGAGGCAUCCAUGCGGGGAGCCACAACAGCUGCAUGUUGUACUCCCGAAAGCUGAGGUGCUGGUGCAGAAAACACUAGAGGUGUCUUGCCCUGAUCAGAUAACCCGCUAAGAUAAGCAAGAACCUGAUUAAUCAUCUCUGGGGUUGGUUGGGGUGGUAAUUCCUCAUUCUUCACUUGUUCAUUCUCCCCUUCCUCACCCUCUCUUAAUACUUCCUCAGUCGGUGGAGGAGUCACCGCCCUAGUACUAGCUGGGCCAGGUGCUUGUCCUCUUCCUCUAGAAGACGUCCUCCCGCGACCUCUACCACGGCCUCUUGCCACUGCUCCUCUUCGAGCUACAGCCCCAGCGGCUGGCUCAGACGCAUCUUGUCUUGCCGAUGUUGGUGUUGGCGCAGUUGUUGCUCUAGUUCUAACCAUCUGCGAAAUAGAGUGAAGAUGGUCAGAUACCAAUUUGUAUCACCUAGAUACCAAUUGGAUCCAAGUAAUUGCACGAAAGAAAGAAAUAAUGGAUUUUUCCUAAAGUCUUAUAGCCUCUCAAACAAAAGUAAAGGCGUCCCCCUACGGUUCCUCAAGACUCUACUAGACUCAUUCUUGUGUGAUGAGACGAACGAACCUAAUGCUCUAAUACCAAGUUUGUCACAACACAAAACGAGCCGCGAGUGGCACCCACACUUACUCUCCUAUGUGAGCGAACCAACCAAUCUAAACCCCAACAUUUCAACCAUAAUAAAAGAAUAUAAUGCGGAAGAAUUAAAACUCAUUAACGAAAUCAAUUAAUAACUUCUUAAAUUUAUCAAUUACUAUCCCCAAAAUCUGGAAGUCAUCACCACAAGAACAUUCUAUCCUCAAAUUACUAAAUCUAAGAGUGUCUAGGAAGCUAAAAUAAGAAAACAGAUGGUCCAUGUCCGAACUUCAAGGACAUCAAGACAUGAAUGAGAGAGAAUCCACUCCGAGAUAGGAAUCAUAGCUCACCCUAAAAUCUGAUUAUGCUAAGGUCUGGCUAGAGUUGCGGUUGAGUUGAAGUCGAAGGUACGUUUGCUGCACUCCACAAAUAACAAAGAAGAAAAUUACAAGUAGGGGUCAGUACACAAGUACUGAGUAGGUAUCAUCGGCCAACUCAAAAUAGAAAGAAAUAUAUAUCAGAUAAUAACAUAAAAUCAACCAUAACACUUAACAGGUGAAAACAACAAGUACCAUAACCAUUGGCCACAACCAAAGCACAUAUAUGAGGACUCAAGCCUCCACACCAUACUCACUUACGAAUAAGGUUCUUCAAACCUGAGUAUAUUAGCAUAAUUCAAGAUUCAUUCUCUUUACUAACCUGGUGUCGGAAUGUGACACUCUGAUCCCCUACUAUCCUGGUGUCGGAACGUGACACUCCGAUCCCCUACUAUCCUGGUGUAGGAACCUGACACUCUGAUCCCCUAAUACUACGUGUCGGUUCGUGACACCCGAUCCCCUAAUCUCAUUAAUUUCCAGUUCAUCAACCUUUCUUUAUGCUAAGACAUCAUCAUUAAUAGAGAGGUUUUAAGGUUGAGAUUCACAACCUCAUCUUUCCAAUCCAUUAUAAUUACAUAAUCACAUCAUGCAAGCACAUAAUUAAGCAUAUAGAAGACUUUACAAUACUACUGAAUGCAUAUCAUUCGCUAUUAAGAGUUUACUAUGAAAUAGCAUAAAGCACAACCUACCUCCACUGAAGAAUCGUAAUCAAGCUAGCUAUCCCCCAAAACCUUUGCUUUCCUCUGCGUUCUUCUCUUUCUCUCGCUCGUUUCUCUCUUCUUUUCUUUGCUCUUUCUAUUUUUCCUUAUUCAAACUCCUUUCUUUUACCCUAAUUAUCAUCUAAUUAAGUAUAAAAGAUUGUAAAAGUAACCCACUAUUUAUUUCAAGGUUAUCUCCUUUAACCCCCAAGUAAUUGAAUUAUUAACAUUAAACCACUAACUUUAUAAUCAUAAGCAAGAAUAUUCCAAAACACCCCUUAAAAACUUUUUAUAGAAAUCCGACCCAGCCAAGGUUACGCAGCCUCUGAUGGCUCGUCGUGCCUGCGAUGGUCCGUCCUACUAUUUCUGUCACAAAGUUCAGAGAGACGAAUUCAUUAAAGACUCUGUGACGGUCCGUUGUGCCUAAGACGGUCCAUGCUACUCUUCUGUCGUGAAGUCCAGAGAGUUGUUUCCCCGUACCCAAAUUUCAAGAGUCUAAGUGUUUUUGAACGAGACCCCCUCGAUGGUUCGUCGUACCCAUGAUGGUCCGGCGUAGGAUCCGUCGACCUAGACAGCUAUUACCUGAAAUAAACUCUACUGCUCAAAAUGACUAAACAGGUCGUUACAAAACCAUACCAUUUUACGAAAUCAAAUUUGAGCAUGUACAACUCCCGAAAAUGAUCUUAGCUUGAAUUGAUACAUUCUUUCUCCAUUGAGGUUGCUGUAGUGGGAUUUUGGGUGCUAUAGCGAGGCUGCUAUAACAGGAUGGGUGCACUGUAGCUGUCCAGAUAUGACUUAGAGUCGUAAAUAAAUGCCUAAAUGAUAUUUUUGACACCUUCUAACUUUUAGAGCUAAGGAGGUAACCCUAGAUGAGUUCUUAAUAGUUUUUCCCCGUUAUUGAGGCUAAAGGUAAGAUUUUAAAAACUCCAAAUUCGUUUUUAAAACUGUAAAACCUAUAUUCUUGGUACAUAAUCAAUGGGAACGGUUUUGAUCUAAGAAUUAUGGUGGAAAAUCCUUGAUUUGGGUAUUAGGAUCUUGGGUUUGUCUAGGGUUAUUAGGUUGUUAUAAUCUAAAUAAUUAGACCUUUGAUUAUUGAUCCUUGCGCAUAUUAAUUGUUGUAGACCUAGAACAAGCGGAAAAAAUCCAGAAAAGAAAGAUUCAAGUGCCUUAGAGGAUUCAAGCUUUGAGUCGAGGUAAGUGAUGAUUGUGAUUUCAUGCUGGUGUGAUAUAUGUUUGUACUUAUUUCUUUAUUAUGCAUGUACAUAUGUAAGUAAUGCUUUAUAGGUCACCCUAAUCAUAGAUGAGGAUAAUUGAAUAAUCGUAUGCCAUGAAUAACCUCUUGUUGUAUGAUCUUUAUGAUGUACUUGUGAUUGUGAUGUGUGAAUGGGGAUCAAAUUGCUACGUUCAGGCAAGGUAAGUUGGAUUGGAUUUCCACAUUCCAGCAUAAAUAUUGGAUCAAGUUACCGCAUUCCAACACAACUAUGGGAUCAGUUACCACGUUCCAGCAUAAAAAUAGGACCAGAUUACCACACUCUGAUAAGUUAACAAUUCAGAUUUGAGUUCCAUGAGAGGACCAUUGAAUUGGGUUCUGUGAGGGACCAUUUAAUUGUGUUCUGUGAGGGACCAUUUAAUUGUGUUGUGUAUGUACUUGUGAUGAUUGUUUUCAUACCUAAUGAUGAUGGAUAUUGAAGGAUUGAUUUUUGCUCUAAAUAAUUUAAUUUUAUAUCAUUGAGAAUUGUGAAAUUGUUCGUUGAUGUGAAUGAUGAUGAUAUUGUAUAUAUUUCGUAUAUGCUUGUUUUAUAAUGUUGUGGUUACUUUUAUGUUUUUCACUUGGUGGGAUGGUCGUAUGAUCUUACUAGUACACCAUGAUUGUGUCUUUUUGUUUGAUUCCACUCUUUUUAGACUCAGACUAUUGGUUAAGUUGGUGUUAAUUUCGGGGUUGUAUGCCUUGUUCUUAGAUUUGUCUUAAGUAGAGUUUUGGCACAUUGACUUUCAGGUUCUACAUAUUUAAUUCUGCAUUUGUUUAGUUAAUUAACUUGUUUCCUUAAAUUUAUCGCCUCAGUUUUGGUUUAGUUUCUUUGUUUGGGUUUUAGUAGUGGAUUUCCCGCUAGAUGAUUAGUAUGGGUGCCAAUCACGAUUGUCUGGACCGUGAAAAAUAAUUCAAUAUUUUCCAAGGAAAGAAAGGACUUUGACGUGGCACAUAAUUUUUGCAUUAUUUUGUUCUGUUAAUUACCUAAAGAGUGGCUCAGUUUGCAGUACUGAUUGCUAUAGGAAAUUACAGAGCAUAUUGAUGUGGACACAUCUGUAAAUAUUAUUACUUGGAUAAACCUUGCUGCAUAAUGUCUACAUAUGCUGCAAGUAUCAUAUUUUACUAAUCAAGUACUUGUGGCUCUGUCACCCGUCUUUUAAAUUAUUGUGUUGGUAUGUUUAUGCUUUUUAACGUCCUACUAAAAUUGAUUCGCAAAGACAAUGGUGUCACAACCAACAUUGUGUUCACUGUAGCCUUAUAAUUAUAAUGGAGAAGAGAGAUCCUUCACAGAAGUUAUAUACAAGGAUGUGGCUUUGGGAACAUUCAUAAUAGUAUGUUGUUGACCCUACUAAUGGAUUAUGCGGUUCGUGCUGCGAGAUUAGUCCCGUGCAUUGGUCAAUGAAAUAAAUAGGUUGUUUACAUGUAUUUUUUUCAAACAUAAACUAUUUAUUAAGCUAAUGAUCUUUCAUUUCUUGAUAUUGUUAUCUAUGUUAGAUGGGGUUCCUAAAUGCAUUUUAGUUCGUGCUCCCAAACUUUAGAAAAUUUUUGAUUUUAUAUUCAGCUUUUGGCUGGUAAGUCCUUUUAGGAAGAAUUAUAAGAUCCAGAUUUUAUUUUUAUAUUUCAAUAGCAGGUCAGCUCUGUACUAUACAUCAACAAAUCUUACAUUGUUAGAAAAUAUCUAUUAUAUAUGUCAAGAAUGUACCUGUUGUUUCUCAUUCUCUUGAAUAUUUGUUCCAUAAAAUAACCACAUGAAUAUACAAAGUAUAUACCAUUGUACAAGCUAAUAGUGUUAGACUAAAACAACAAGAUGUCGCUUUAUCCCCAAAGCAUCAUUACUUCCUUUCUUUCAAGGAAUUUUCUUUAAUUCCUUUUUCACCAAUUUAUUAUUUUGCUUGAGUUGUCAUUUUUUCUUCCUAGAUUAUUAAUCUAUAAUGGCCCUAAAAAUGAACUAGUGAAACUAGAGGAUAACGUGUAUCCAUUUGUGUUCGUCUUGAGUUUUAUUGGAGAUGUGAAACACUUAUGGGUAAUGAGAUAUGGUAAGAAUGGUAUGCGAGACAUAUAUUUCCAGUAAUUCGAUAUAUUAGAUACUACUCUACUUUAUUUUAUCCAAGUGUUUCCUAGUUGAUCACUCGGGGACAAGUGAUGGGUAAAUUGGUAUAAAUUGUAACGGCCUUAUUCCUUCAUUAUGGAGAAGUCAACGAAGAAAGAAUUGGUGCUGUAAAACUCUUUCAUAAUAACUUGGAAUCUCUAUCCUAGUCCAGAUUUGGAAAAGAUCAAAGUUAUUAAGGUGUAGGGAAAAUUUAGUAAUUAAUAAAAGAUUUAAUUGUGAAUUUUAUUAUGAGUGGAUUAAUAAAACGAUAAGGAACCAUACCAUUUUACGAAAUCAAAUUUGAGCAUGUACAACUCCCGAAAAUGAUCUUAGCGUGAAAUGAUACAUUCUUUCUCCAUUGAGGUCGCUGUAGUGUGAUUUUGGGUGCUAUAGCGAGGCUGCUAUAGCAGCAUGGGUGCACUGUAGCAGUCCAGACAUGACUUAGAGUUGUAAAUAAACCCCUAAAUGAUAAUUAUUACACGUUCUAACUUUUAGAGCUAAGGAGGUAACCCUAGAUGAAUUCUUGAUAGUUUUUCCCCAUUAUUGAGGCUUAAGGUAAGAUUUUUAAUACUCCAAAUUCGUUUUUCAAUCUGUAAAACCUAUAUUCUUGGUACAUAAUCGAUGGGGACGGUUUUUAUCUAAGAAGUAUGGUGGAAAAGCCUUGAUUUGGGUAUUAGGAUCUUGGGUUUGUCUAGGGUUAUUAGGUUAUUAUAAUCUAAAUAAUUAGACCGUUGAUUAUUGAUCCUUGUGCAUAUUAAUUGUUGUAUACCUAGAACAAGAGGAAAAAAUCCAGAAAAGAAAGAUUCAAGUGCCUUAGAGGAUUCAAGCUUUGAUUCGAGGUAAGUGAUGAUUAUGAUUUCAUGCUGGUGUGAUAUAUGUUUGUACUUAUUUCUUCAUUAUGCAUGUAUAUAUGUAAGUAAUGAAUUAUAGGUUACCCUAAUCAUAGAUGAGGAUAAUUGAAUAAUCGUAUGCCAUGAAUCACCUCUUGUUGUCUGAUCUUUAUGAUGUACUUGUGAUUGUGAUGUGUGAAUGGGGAUCAAAUUGCUACGUUCAGGCAAGGUAUGUUUUAUUGUAUUUCCACGUUCAAACAUAAAUAUUGGAUCAGGUUGCCAUAUUCCGACACAACUAUGGGAUCAGUUACCACGUUCCAACAUAAAAAUAGGACCGGAUUACCACGCUCUUAUAAGUUAACAAUUCAGAUUUGAGUUCCAUGAGAAGACCAUUGAAUUGGGUUCUGUGAGGGACCAUUUAAUUGUGUUGUGUAUCUAAUUGUGAUGGUUGUUUUCAUACCUAAUGAUGAUGCAUAUUGAAGGAUUGAUUUUUCCUCUAAAUGAUUUAAUUGUAUAUAAUUGGGAAUUGUGAAAUUGUUCGUUGAUGUGAAUUAUGACGAUAUUGUAUAUAUUUCAUAUAUGCUUGUUUUAUAAUGCUGUGGUUACUUUUAUGUUUUUCACUUGGUGGGAUGGUCGUAUGAUCUUACUAGUACACCGUGAUUGUGUAGUGAUACUGCUGCUUUUAUUUUGUUGAUAUAGAACAUGUUCCGGGGGCUAUCAACAAACCUUGAGUUCUCUUUGUUUUUACAGGAUAACUUGAGUUCUCUUUGUUUGGUUCCACUCUUUUCAGACUCAGACUAUUGGUUAAGUUGGUGUUAGUUUCGGGUUUGUAUGCCUUGUUCUUAUAUUUGUCUUAAGUAGAGUUUUGGUACAUUGACUUUCAGGUUCUAGGUAUAGAAUUCUGCAUUUGUUUAGUUAAUUGACUUGUUUCCUUAAAUUUAUCGCCUAAGUUUUGGUUUAGUUGCUUAGUUUGGGUUUUACUAGUGGCUUUCCCACUGGAUGAUUAGUAUGGGUGCCAAUCACGAUUGUCUGGACCGUGAGAAAUAAUUCAAUAUUUUCCAAGGAAAGAAAGGACUUUGAUGUGACACAUAAUUUUUGCAUUAUUUUGUUCUGUUAAUACAUAAAAGAGUUGCUCAGUUUGCAGUACUGAUUGCUAUAGGAAAUUACAGAGCGUAUUGAUGUGGACAGAUCUGUAUAUAUUAUUACUUGGAUAAACCUUUCUGUAUAAUGUCUACAUAUGCUGCAAGUAUCAUAUUUUACUAAUCAAGUACUUGUGGCUCUAUCACCCGUCUUUUAAAAUUAUUGUGUUGGUAUGUUUAUGAUUUUUCACGUCCUACUAAAAUUGAUUCGCAAAGACAAUGGUGUCACAACCAACUUUGUGUUCACUGUAGCCUUUCAAUUAUAAUGGAGAAGGGAGAUCUUUCACAGAAGUUAUAUACAAGGAUGUGGCUUUGGGAACAUUCAGAAUAGUAUGUUGUUGACCCUACUAAUGGAUUAUGUGGUUCGUGCUACGAGAUUAGUCCCGUGCAUUGGUUUAUGAAAUAAAUAGGUUGCUUACAUUUAUUUUUUUCAAACUUAAACUAUUUAUUAAGCUAAUGAUCUUUUAUUUCUUGAUAUUGUUAUCUAUGUUAGAUGGGGUUCCUAAAUGCAGUUUAGUUCGUGUUCCCAAACUUUAGAAAAUAAUUGAUGUUAUAUUUAGCUUUUGGCUGGUAAGUCCUUUUAGGAAGAAUUAUAAGAUCCAGAUUUUAUUUUUAUAUUUCAAUAGCAGGUCAGCUCUCUACUAUACAUCAACAAAUCUUACAUUACCAGAAAUUAUCUAUUAUAUAUGUCAAGAAUGUACUUGUUGUUUCUCAUUCUCUUGAAUAUUUGUUCCAUAAAACAACCACAUGAAUAUACAAAGUAUAUACCAUUGUACAAGCUAAUAGUGUUAGACUAAAACAACAAGAUGUCGGUUUAUCCCCAAAGCAUCACUAGUUCCUUUCUUUCCAGGAAUUUUCUUUAAUUCCUUUUUCACCAAUUUAUUAUUUUGCUUGAGUUGUCAUUUUUUCUUCGUAGAUUAUUAAACUAUAAUGGCCCUAAAAAUGAACUAGUGAAACUAGAGGCUAACGUGUAUUCUUUUGUGUUCGUCUUGAGUCUUAUUGGAGAUAUGAAGUCCUUAUGGAUAAUGAGAUACGACAAAAAGGGUAUGCGAGACAUAUCUAUCCAGUAAUUCGAUAUAAUAGAUACUACUCUACUUUAUUUUAUCCAAGUCUUUCCUAGUUGAUCAGUCGGGGACGAGUGAUGUGUAAAUUGGUAUAAAUUGUAACGGCCUUAUUUCGUCAUUAUAGAGAAGUCAACGAAGAAAGAGUUGGUGCUGUAAAACUCUUUCAUAACAACUUGGAAUCUCUAUCCUAUUCCAGAUUUUGAAAAGACCAAAGUUAUUAAGGUGUAGGGAAAAUUUAGUAAUUAAUAAGAGAUCUAAUUGUGAAUUUUAUUAUGAGUGGAUUGAUAAAACGACAAGGAACCACACCAUUUUACGAAAUUUAAUUUGAGCAUGUACAACUCCCGAAAAUGAUCUUAGUGUGAAUUGAUAUAUUCUUUCUCCAUUGAGGUCGCUAUAGUGGGAUUUUGGGUGCUAUAGCGAGGCUGCUAUAGCAGGAUGGGUGCACUGUUGCAGUCCAGACAUGACUUGGAGUUGUAAAUAAACCCCUAAAUGAUAAUUUUGACACGUUCUAACUUUUAGAGCUAAGGAGGUAACCCUAGAUGAGUUCUUGAUAGUUUUUCCCCAUUAUUGAGGCUAAAGGUAAGAUUUUUAAUACUCCAAAUUCGUUUUUCAAUCUGUAAAACCUAUAUUCUUGGUACAUAAUCGAUGGGGACGGUUUUGAUCUAAGAAUUAUGGUGGAAAAGCCUUGAUUUGGGUAUUAGGAUCUUGGGUUUGUCUAGGGUUAUUAGUUUGUUAUCAUCUAAAUAAUUAGAUCUCUGAUUAUUGAUCCUUGCGCAUACUAAUUGUUGUAGACCUAGAACAAGCGGAAAAAAUCAAGAAAAGAAAGAUUCAAGUGCCUUAGAGGAUUCAAGCUUUGAUUCGAGGUAAGUGAUGAUUAUGAUUUCAUGCUGGUGUGAUAUAUGUUUGUACUUAUUUCUUUAUUAUGCAUGUAUAUAUGUAAGUAAUGCAUUAUCGGUCACCCUAAUCAUAGAUGAGGAUAAUUGAAUAAUCGUAUGCAAUGAAUCACCUCUUGUUGUAUGAUUUUUAUAAUGUACUUGUGAUUGUGAUGUGUGAAUGGGGAUCAAAUUGCUACGUUCAAGCAAGGUAAGUUUUAUUGGAUUUCCACGUUCCAGCAUAAAUAUUGGAUCAGGUUGCCACAUUCCGACACAACUAUGGGAUCAGUUACCACGUUCCAACAUAAAAAUAGGACCGGAUUACCACGCUCUGAUAAGUUAACAAUUAAGAUUUGAGUUCCAUGAGAAGACCAUUGAAUUGGGUUCUGUGAGGGACCAUUUAAUUGUGUUGUGUAUCUAAUUGUGAUGGUUGUUUUCAUACCUAAUGAUGAUGCAUAUUGAAGGAUUGAUUUUUCCUCUAAAUGAUUUAAUUGUAUAUCAUUGGGAAUUGUGAAAUUGUUCGUUGAUGUGAAUUAUGACGAUAUUGCAUAUAUUUCAUAUAUGCUUGUUUUAUAAUGCUGUGGUUACUUUUAUGUUUUUCACUUGGUGGGAUGGUCGUAUGAUCUUACUAGUACACCGUGAUUGUGUAGUGAUACUGCUGCUUUUAUUUGUUGAUAUAGAACAUCUUCCGGUGGCUAUCGACAAACCUUGAGUUCUCUUUGUUUUUACAGGAUACCUUGAGUUCUCUUUGUUUGAUUCCACUCUUUUCAGACUCAGACUAUUGGUUAAGUUGGUGUUAGUUUCGGGGUUGUACGCCUUGUUCUUUGAUUUGUCUUAAGUAGAGAUUUGGUACAUUGACUUUCAGGUUUCAGGUAUUUAAUUCUGCAUUUGUUUAGUUAAUUAACUUGUUUCCUUAAAUUUAUCGCCUUAGUUUUGAUUUAGUUGCUUAGUUUGGGUUUUAUUAGUGGCUUUCCCACUAGAUGAUUAGUAUGGGUGCCAAUCACGAUUAUUUGGACCGUGACAAAUAAUUCAAUAUUUUCCAAGGAAAUUGCAGUACUGAUUGCUAUAGGAAAUUACAGAGCGUAUUGAUGUGGACACAUCUGUAUAUAUUAUUACAUGGAUAAACCUUGCUGCAUAAUGUCUACAUAUGCUGCAAGUAUCAUAUUUUACUAAUCAAGUACUUGUGGCUCUAUCACCCGUCUUUUAAAAUUAUUGUGUUGGUAUGUUUAUGAUUUUUCACGUCCUACUAAAAUUGAUUCGCAAAGAUAAUGGUGUCACAACCAACUUUGUGUUCACUGUAGCCUUUCAAUUAUAAUGGAGAAGGGAGAUCCUUCACAGAAGUUAUAUACAAGGAUGUGGUUUUGGGAACUUUCAGAAUAAUAUGUUGUUGACCCUACUAAUGGAUUAUGUGGUUCGUGCUGCGAGAUUAGUCCCGUGCAUGGGUCAAUGAAAUAAAUAGGUUGCUUACAUAUAUUUUUUUCAAACUUAAACUAUUUAUUAAGCUAAUGAUCUUUCAUUUUUUGAGAUUGUUAUCUAUGUUAGAUAGGGUUCCUAAAUGCAGUUUAGUUCGUGUUCCCAAACUUUAGAAAAUAUUUGAUGUUAUGUUCAGCUUUUGGCUGGUAAGUCCUUUUAGGAAGAAUUAUAAGAUCCAGAUUUUAUUUUUAUAUUUCAAUAGCAGGUCAGCUCUCUACUAUACAUCAAAAAAUCUUACAUUAUCAGAAAAUAUCUAUUAUAUAUGUCAAGAAUGUACCUGUUGUUUCUCAUUCUCUUGAAUAUUCGUUCCAUAAAACAACCACAUGAAUAUAUAAAGUAUAUACCAUUGUACAAGCUAAUAGUGUUAGACUAAAACAACAAGAUGUCGCUUUAUCCCCAAAGCAUCAUUAGUUCCUGUCUUUCCAGGAAUUUUCUUUAAUUCCUUUUUCACCAAUUUAUUAUUUUGGUUGAGUUGUCAUUUUUUCUUCCUAGAUUAUUAAACUAUAAUGGCCCUAAAAAUUAACUAGUGAAACUAGAGGCUAACGUGCAUUCGUUUGUGUUCGUCUUGAGUUUUAUUGGAGAUGUGAAGCCCUUAUGGGUAAUGAGAUACGGUAAGAAGGGUAUGAGAGACAUAUAUCUCCAGUAAUUCAAUAUAUUAGAUACUACUCUACUUUAUUUUAUCCAAGUCUUUUCUAGUUGAUGAGUCGGGGACGAGUGAUGGGUAAAUUGGUAUAAAUUGUAACAGACUUAUUCCGUCAUUAUGGAGAAGUCAACGAAGAAAGAAUUGGUGCUGUAAAACUCGUUCAUAACAACUUGGAAUCUCUAUCCUAGUCCAGAUUUUGAAAAGAUCAAUAUACUGUUUAGGAUUAUUUAUAGGGAGUACCAAUUGCCUCUGUAUAUACAUAUUUAUCAAUAAUUAAACUAUGAAUUGUUAUUAGGGAAAAGGGUCUGAUAUACCAUUCAACUUUGUCAUUUGGAGCUGAUAUACCCCUCGUUAGAAAAGUGGCUCUCAUAUAUGCCCUUACCGUUAUACAAACGGCUCAUAUAUAGCUCUGCCGUUACAAAAUGGCUCACAUAUACCCUUCAUUUUACGGAAGUUAAAAAAUUAGUUUUAAAUUUAUAUUUAUUACUUCUAAUUUUUUUUAAAAAAAAUUAUUUAGGGGUAUAUAUGAUUCUUCUAUCAAAGUUCAAGGUAUAUUUUAAUUUUUUUCAUACAUAAAUUAUUUUUUGACUUCUUUUAUUAUAAUUAUUUGAAUUUCUUAUUCUUAUUUUUUUUAUUUCAUUCCUUAGUUUAAAGAAUAAAAAAAUUAAACUAUUUUUUUUGUGUGUAUUGUAAUUUAAUUUCUUAUUCGAAGAAAAAAUAUGGUCAUCUACAAUAAGUUUUACAAGAAUAUUAGUGAAACAUAAAUAAAUUUGAUUAUAAAAAUAAUAAUUAUAAGUUAGUCAUUGAAACAAACAAAAGUCAAAAAAAUAUGUUUGACGAGGAUUAAAUUUACUCAUAUGAGAUUAUAUUUUUUAGAAAAAAAUAAUAAAAAUUUAGAUUGAAUUGUUUUUUUCGUUUCCGUUAGAGUAAAAGGGUAUAUGUGAGCCAUUUGUUUACAAGUAGGGGUAUAUAUGAGCCACUUUCAUAACAAGGGGUAUAUAAACUCUAAAUGACAAAGUUGAGGGGUAUAUCAGACCCUUUUCCCUUGUUAUUAAAUAUCACUAAAGUAUCAUUUUUAUUGUAGUGAUUACUCUAUAUUUUUUUAUAAAUUUUUUUUGUUUUUUUUGAAUAAAGAAAUAAAAAAUCUUUGAUUAUUUCAAUUAAUUUUGUGAACUGAAAACUUGUAUACAACUUGAUAGACAAGCACCAUGCUUUUUUCUUCUUGAUUGCUAGGAAAGCAAGGUCGAUUUAUUUUUAUUUGUGGAUAUUUGUGAGUUCAAGUGCUCACAAAGUUAUUUUGUGAGAUUUUUAUGUGUUAUGUGUCAAAAUAUUUGUUUAGAAAAUCCAAUAGCGAACCGUUACAAUCAGAGGCCGCCUAUUUCAUGGUUGGUAAUUGCAUUCAUUCUUUCUAACUGCAUACUAUAACCAUAAAUAUAACUAUGGUUCAAUUCAAAAAGGAUGGGGCCGAUGAUAUGAAAUAUAAUCAAUAGCAAUGACUACUUUGAGACGAUGAGGAAAAACAUGUAUGAUGCAAUCAAUUUUAGGUUCAUUUUUAAACAUAUAUAUGAUACAUCAUACUAUGAUAAAAUAGAUUGAUGGAGGUUCAUAAGAAAUGAGCUGAAGAUCCUCCAUUUGAGUUCAAUUUUAUUAUGUUCUUUUAUGGAUGUAAUGUUCCACUUUUCUUGGGAGUGUUGUCAUUCAAGGCUUUUUGGUAUAUUCUUUAUGUAUGAUGUUUUUCUUGAUAACUAUUUGAAAUUUUAGCAAAUUUCAUUACUUCUGAAACAAAAUCAAUAGACAUACUUCAUAUGUAUGCUCAUCAUAUCCAGAAGUUGAAAUAACAGAAAGAAUAACUGACCUUGUGUUGGGCAGUGAGCUAAGGUGCUUCAAUCGCAAGUCGAUUCUCGAACACAAACGAUAAUAUUAGAAAGUUCAAAUCCAAAAAUAGCUACAAAAGGAUAAACAGAAAGAGUUUAAGAGUGGGAUGAGGUCGCUUCAAAACUUUCAGGGGAAAACAGUGGCUAAAAAUCUUGUUCAAAUGGACUCCAAAUACAAGUAUUUAAAGGGCGAAAUCACAGUUCUUGAGUGGAAAAUGAAUUUUGAAAUUUUGAAAUUGUCUUCCAAUUCAAACGUUUGAAACUUUUAGGAUAGAUUUUGCAAUAUUCAUGUGAUUUACUAGAACGAAAAAGGAGUACCUAAUCUUUGUCCAUGGUUGACAUAAAACAUGUUAUUUUUUCUAAAAAUGCUAAGAAAGAAAGGAAACAUCUUGUACUGCUAAAAACUAUUGAAAUCUAGGACAUGAUGAAG
RNAcentral lists this long non-coding RNA (18551 nucleotides) under Solanum lycopersicum (tomato). Its description in RNAcentral is "long non-coding RNA (SLYC_LNC000208)". The record is from RNAcentral. Lineage: Eukaryota; Viridiplantae; Streptophyta; Magnoliopsida; Solanales; Solanaceae.